AUGGACCUUCACAAGAAACUCACUGCUGUUAAUUUAACUGAUGAUCUAGUGGUUGAUAUCCUCUCCCGGCUGACGUACAAGUCAUUUUGCCGCUGCAAGUGUGCCUAUAAGGCCUGGUCUGCCUUUUCCUCUGACCCAGACUACCGCGAGAAGCUGCCCAAAAAAGUAACCACUGGACUUCUGUACCAAGGUCACAAUAAGUCUGCUAUCCCGCUUGUAAGCCUGUGCCCAGAUGAUGGGGAAAUAGACGGAAUUCUUGCUGAUGUGCCACACUAUGAGCAUUUAGAAUUCCUCGACUGCUGCAAUGGUUUAGUCCUUUUUCUACAUCUUCAAUUUUCAUCUGAACAUGUCCAUGGUUUGAUACUUGGCACCAGCAAACUUGAGAUAUUCCGGUCUGAAAGUUCGACAUGGCUUGAGGAUGAUACCUUGGACCGAGAUAUAAAUAUUUCUGGGCGAACACACUUAUUUGUUAAUGGAAUGUUGUAUGUGUCUGUUGGGUAUGAAGUUUUGAUGUUCGAAGGCCUGGAGGCAAUGAGUGAUGGCAUACCGCCCUAUCAUCAGAUCAUAAGUUUGCCGCCGGAAGCUUUGGCAAAUCUUCAGGGAUCUUACACUAUGCAUUGCCACAUGAGAAUGGUCGCACGAUUGUUGUUUGGACAUUGGAUGAUUUUGGAUGAGUUUGUUCACUACGACGAUGGUGGCGAUGGUGGUGAGGAUAAAUGGUUUUGGAACUGCGAUUAUCGGAUUGUCGACCUCGACUUGGAGAGAGGGCUUGUUUUCCUCCAUGACCAGAAGGCAAAUAAGCUUCUUUCAUACAAUAUCAGUGGGGGGAAACUCAACGAGAUACAAGACGCCUUUGGGUGGGAUCGAUACUAUGUCUAUGUACCAUGCUACUCAGAGCUUCCAGCGCAAGAACCUUCGGUUCAGUGA
RNAcentral lists this ribosomal RNA (927 nucleotides) under Triticum aestivum (bread wheat). RNAcentral describes it as "partial small subunit ribosomal RNA". Lineage: Eukaryota; Viridiplantae; Streptophyta; Magnoliopsida; Poales; Poaceae. The record is from RNAcentral.